This 85-nucleotide transfer RNA is filed under the name Felis catus (domestic cat). It matches the Rfam family "tRNA". From Rfam's summary of the family: Transfer RNA (tRNA) molecules are approximately 80 nucleotides in length. Their secondary structure includes four short double-helical elements and three loops (D, anti-codon, and T loops). The record is from Rfam by way of RNAcentral. Lineage: Eukaryota; Metazoa; Chordata; Mammalia; Carnivora; Felidae.
GCCUGGGUGGCUCAGUCGGUUAAGCGUCUGACUUCGGCUCAGGUCAUGAUCUCACGGUUUGUGAGUUCAAGCCCCGCAUCGGGCU